ACGUGCCUUCAAAGCCAGUCUGCUUUAAGGGGAAUUGCCAAAUCCAUUCUCCUAGACUCCCUGCCUGUACACACUGCUGUGAGGGGGCAAAAGUGACUUAACCCUCCUCUCCUUGUUUUCCUCUCGGGACAAAUGAAAUCCAGACAGGAGCAGCCCAGUGAGGAGCUUAUCAUGGGAUAAGGAGGCCGACUGGCUCCAGGAAAAACUUCAACAAGAUCAGUUACAGGAGCCAGGUGGAAUGCGUGCUUCCCUCCAGGAUAGAUUUCAGAUUUUUGCCUGCAGCUACCUGUUGUGAUCAAAACACCCUGCCCCUGCAUUUUAAUUCUUUGAUCAGAAGAGAAGAACAAACUGGAUCCAGACUCCUAGCUGGCAAUAUGAAGAUGAUAAGAGAAGAUAAUAAGGAAAAUGAUGGAAGUUGAUAUAUACACAUGUAUGUAUGAAAUUAUGAAAUAACAACUAUAGAAGGAGAGACAUGAAGUCAGACAUGGUAACACAUACCUGGAAUCCUGUCACCCUGGCAAGGUGUGUGGGUUUGCCCACCGCCAACUCAAUUACUAUCUGACUUUUAGUCUAAUCUGUAAGGUGCUUGUUAGAACUGUUUGAUAUCUUUUGGGAAAGGGGGCAAGUUUCCCCUCUGGCUGGUGCCCUUUCCUUCUCCUGACAAGAGCUAGCGUGAGAUUCCUGGGGAAAUUCUCAUCUCAGGAAGUCAGUCCACUGUUUCAACCGUCUGACAGUCAGUGCAGGAAAUCAAGAGACAUCAGAUCCCCUAGAACUAGAGAAACAACAACAACAAAACGAUUAAAAACUGAUCCAUGUGGGCUGAGAACCAAACCCAGGACCUCUGCAAGAACAGCAAGGGCUCUUAACCACUGAGCCACCUAGCCAGCCCUGAUACAAAGGUCUCUUUAGAAUAUCUUCAUUCCUACCAUGCUGGUUACAUCUGGUGGAUCAUGACUUCCAAACCAGCCUGGGCCCAUAGCAAAACCCUGUCCCAGAGACAAGGAAGAAAAUAACCAGCGCUCAGGAAGCAGAGGCAGGAGGAUCAAUUGAAAUUUGAGGUCAGCCUUGGCUACCUUGUCUCGAAAACCAAAUGAUGAAAUAAACCACGACCGAAAACAGACAAGAAGAAAAGCGCUAUCAGGUAAUUCCUUCCUUGGUUCCUAAUCUGGUGGAGGCCGUGGUUAUGUGAGGACACAGGAGAAGGUGGUCGUGUGUAAGCCAGCAGUGGAGAGUCAUCCUAAUCUUAAACUUCUCUAAAAUCUAGGCUGAGGAGGAAAGAAAUCUGCUGGUUAAGUCAGCAAGUCCAGCACUGUCACGGUAGUUCAGCUCGAAAAGACAGGCAAUGGGACUGAUGAUGUGAAUUUGAUCCCUGGGACCUAUAUGAUGGAAAGAAAGAACAAGUCCUCCCAGCUCUCAUCCGACCUCCACAUUCCUGCACCGCAUGCCAGGUUCUCAGGCACACACAACCACGGGAGCAAAAUUAACAGAUAAAUGUCAUUUAAAAAGAAAACCAUGCCACAUAGUCUAAAGUGCUUCCUUAGCUGAGGUGACAGAGCAUAGAGACGGAGCCCCCAAAACAACCAACUUGUGCCCCGCAGUUUAGAUCUGGGCCUAACACAGGCAAGAGUGAGCUGUCUUCAGACCUGUGGCUACAGACCCAGCGAGCCUCUCUGUCGUGGAAGUUAUGUGAAUCUUAGCCUGGGAGCUUCAUGGCGUUUAUAUGAGCCACAUGAUCUUCCCUUCCCCCGAGGAACAGCAGGUCUCACUUUCUCGAAAUUACAAAUGUUGUCAUUUUUGUGAGACUCAAGCUGACAUGUCAGGAAACACUUGUAUAAAAGCCAUCUAAAAAUACACACCAACUUGUCAUAGUUCCUGUCUUUAGGAGGAGUUGGAGAGAGGAUGGGAUUAGUUUUCAAUAAUUCAACUACUUUAUGGUUUUAAAAAACCCAACUAUACGCUGUACCAGAAAGAAAUCCUACUUUCUGGUUAUUUCUUAUUGGUAUGAGCUUGACUCCCAGCCAGGUCCAGAAAUACCAUCUUACUGAAGAAGGACGAGGAGGAGUUAAUUUUGGAAAUAAAGAUUAAGAGUAUUU
This 2093-nucleotide long non-coding RNA is filed under the name Mus spretus (western wild mouse). Its description in RNAcentral is "lncRNA (ENSMSPG00010021033.1)". Lineage: Eukaryota; Metazoa; Chordata; Mammalia; Rodentia; Muridae. The record is from RNAcentral.